CCAAGGCAAUGAUAAUUGCGGGCGCGUGCGUGUAGGAAGGCCGACCACUACAUAAGCUAAAACUAAAAGACUACGACUACAAGCCAAGCCGGAAGCGACUCGCUUCUAUUCUCGUUGGGAUUGGAUAUAGAUGGGGAAUCUAUAGAUCGUAGUAGUUCGCCAACCUCUCUAACUAACAUACGAUACAAUUUCACUUCACGGCACGGCCAAAGAAAGAGCUUCGCUCGGUGGGCCUUCCUACGCUGACGAAUGCCUCCUUUCUCUUCUCUGAAGUCUACAACAAAAAAUGAACCCGAAAUAGGCCAUGGACUUGGA
RNAcentral lists this unclassified non-coding RNA (315 nucleotides) under Hevea brasiliensis (rubber tree). The record is from RNAcentral. Lineage: Eukaryota; Viridiplantae; Streptophyta; Magnoliopsida; Malpighiales; Euphorbiaceae.